CCCUUAGAUGUCCUGGGCUGCACGCGCGCUACACUGGAAGUUACGGAUUGAGAUACUACCUUGUCCGAAAUGGUCCGGGUAAUCACCUAAAAGCUUGUCAUAAUUGGAAUGGAUUAUUGUAACUAGUAAUCCUGAACGAGGAAUUCCUAGUAAGUCCCAGUCAACAGCUGGUACUGAUUACGUCCCUGCCCUUUGUACACACCGCCCGUCGCUACUACUGAUUGGACGUUUAAGCAAGAUUUUUAAACACUGACAGUGUGUAGUUCACGCUAUACUACAGUGAGAAGAAGAAGAUCGAGCUUACUUGUCUAGAGGAAGUAAAAGUCGUAAC
RNAcentral lists this ribosomal RNA (331 nucleotides) under uncultured eukaryote. RNAcentral describes it as "partial 18S ribosomal RNA". It matches the Rfam family "Eukaryotic small subunit ribosomal RNA", at positions 1470 to 1795 of the family's 1831-position model. The record is from RNAcentral.